CCUACGGGUGGCUGCAGUGGGGAAUAUUGGACAAUGGGGGCAACCCUGAUCCAGCCAUGCCGCGUGUGUGAAGAAGGCCCUCGGGUUGUAAAGCACUUUCAGUGAGGAAGAACGCCUGGUGGUUAAUACCCAUCAGGAAAGACAUCACUCACAGAAGAAGCACCGGCUAACUCCGUGCCAGCAGCCGCGGUAAUACGGAGGGUGCGAGCGUUAAUCGGAAUUACUGGGCGUAAAGCGCGCGUAGGUGGCUUGAUAAGCCGGUUGUGAAAGCCCCGGGCUCAACCUGGGAACGGCAUCCGGAACUGUCAAGCUAGAGUGCAGGAGAGGAAGGUAGAAUUCCCGGUGUAGCGGUGAAAUGCGUAGAGAUCGGGAGGAAUACCAGUAGCGAAGGCGGCCUUCUGGACUGACACUGACACUGAGGUGCGAAAGCGUGGGUAGCAAACAGGAUUAGAUACCCUAGUAGUC
Molecule: ribosomal RNA, 465 nt
Filed under: Vreelandella stevensii
Lineage: Bacteria; Pseudomonadati; Pseudomonadota; Gammaproteobacteria; Oceanospirillales; Halomonadaceae
Description: partial 16S ribosomal RNA
Rfam family: Bacterial small subunit ribosomal RNA
Source: RNAcentral